Molecule: ribosomal RNA, 2902 nt
Filed under: Escherichia coli
Lineage: Bacteria; Pseudomonadati; Pseudomonadota; Gammaproteobacteria; Enterobacterales; Enterobacteriaceae
Description: bacterial LSU rRNA
Rfam family: Bacterial large subunit ribosomal RNA
Source: RNAcentral
UUAAGCGACUAAGCGUACACGGUGGAUGCCCUGGCAGUCAGAGGCGAUGAAGGACGUGCUAAUCUGCGAUAAGCGUCGGUAAGGUGAUAUGAACCGUUAUAACCGGCGAUUUCCGAAUGGGGAAACCCAGUGUGUUUCGACACACUAUCAUUAACUGAAUCCAUAGGUUAAUGAGGCGAACCGGGGGAACUGAAACAUCUAAGUACCCCGAGGAAAAGAAAUCAACCGAGAUUCCCCCAGUAGCGGCGAGCGAACGGGGAGCAGCCCAGAGCCUGAAUCAGUGUGUGUGUUAGUGGAAGCGUCUGGAAAGGCGCGCGAUACAGGGUGACAGCCCCGUACACAAAAAUGCACAUGCUGUGAGCUCGAUGAGUAGGGCGGGACACGUGGUAUCCUGUCUGAAUAUGGGGGGACCAUCCUCCAAGGCUAAAUACUCCUGACUGACCGAUAGUGAACCAGUACCGUGAGGGAAAGGCGAAAAGAACCCCGGCGAGGGGAGUGAAAAAGAACCUGAAACCGUGUACGUACAAGCAGUGGGAGCACGCUUAGGCGUGUGACUGCGUACCUUUUGUAUAAUGGGUCAGCGACUUAUAUUCUGUAGCAAGGUUAACCGAAUAGGGGAGCCGAAGGGAAACCGAGUCUUAACUGGGCGUUAAGUUGCAGGGUAUAGACCCGAAACCCGGUGAUCUAGCCAUGGGCAGGUUGAAGGUUGGGUAACACUAACUGGAGGACCGAACCGACUAAUGUUGAAAAAUUAGCGGAUGACUUGUGGCUGGGGGUGAAAGGCCAAUCAAACCGGGAGAUAGCUGGUUCUCCCCGAAAGCUAUUUAGGUAGCGCCUCGUGAAUUCAUCUCCGGGGGUAGAGCACUGUUUCGGCAAGGGGGUCAUCCCGACUUACCAACCCGAUGCAAACUGCGAAUACCGGAGAAUGUUAUCACGGGAGACACACGGCGGGUGCUAACGUCCGUCGUGAAGAGGGAAACAACCCAGACCGCCAGCUAAGGUCCCAAAGUCAUGGUUAAGUGGGAAACGAUGUGGGAAGGCCCAGACAGCCAGGAUGUUGGCUUAGAAGCAGCCAUCAUUUAAAGAAAGCGUAAUAGCUCACUGGUCGAGUCGGCCUGCGCGGAAGAUGUAACGGGGCUAAACCAUGCACCGAAGCUGCGGCAGCGACGCUUAUGCGUUGUUGGGUAGGGGAGCGUUCUGUAAGCCUGUGAAGGUGUACUGUGAGGUAUGCUGGAGGUAUCAGAAGUGCGAAUGCUGACAUAAGUAACGAUAAAGCGGGUGAAAAGCCCGCUCGCCGGAAGACCAAGGGUUCCUGUCCAACGUUAAUCGGGGCAGGGUGAGUCGACCCCUAAGGCGAGGCCGAAAGGCGUAGUCGAUGGGAAACAGGUUAAUAUUCCUGUACUUGGUGUUACUGCGAAGGGGGGACGGAGAAGGCUAUGUUGGCCGGGCGACGGUUGUCCCGGUUUAAGCGUGUAGGCUGGUUUUCCAGGCAAAUCCGGAAAAUCAAGGCUGAGGCGUGAUGACGAGGCACUACGGUGCUGAAGCAACAAAUGCCCUGCUUCCAGGAAAAGCCUCUAAGCAUCAGGUAACAUCAAAUCGUACCCCAAACCGACACAGGUGGUCAGGUAGAGAAUACCAAGGCGCUUGAGAGAACUCGGGUGAAGGAACUAGGCAAAAUGGUGCCGUAACUUCGGGAGAAGGCACGCUGAUAUGUAGGUGAAGUCCCUCGCGGAUGGAGCUGAAAUCAGUCGAAGAUACCAGCUGGCUGCAACUGUUUAUUAAAAACACAGCACUGUGCAAACACGAAAGUGGACGUAUACGGUGUGACGCCUGCCCGGUGCCGGAAGGUUAAUUGAUGGGGUCAGCGCAAGCGAAGCUCUUGAUCGAAGCCCCGGUAAACGGCGGCCGUAACUAUAACGGUCCUAAGGUAGCGAAAUUCCUUGUCGGGUAAGUUCCGACCUGCACGAAUGGCGUAAUGAUGGCCAGGCUGUCUCCACCCGAGACUCAGUGAAAUUGAACUCGCUGUGAAGAUGCAGUGUACCCGCGGCAAGACGGAAAGACCCCGUGAACCUUUACUAUAGCUUGACACUGAACAUUGAGCCUUGAUGUGUAGGAUAGGUGGGAGGCUUUGAAGUGUGGACGCCAGUCUGCAUGGAGCCGACCUUGAAAUACCACCCUUUAAUGUUUGAUGUUCUAACGUUGACCCGUAAUCCGGGUUGCGGACAGUGUCUGGUGGGUAGUUUGACUGGGGCGGUCUCCUCCUAAAGAGUAACGGAGGAGCACGAAGGUUGGCUAAUCCUGGUCGGACAUCAGGAGGUUAGUGCAAUGGCAUAAGCCAGCUUGACUGCGAGCGUGACGGCGCGAGCAGGUGCGAAAGCAGGUCAUAGUGAUCCGGUGGUUCUGAAUGGAAGGGCCAUCGCUCAACGGAUAAAAGGUACUCCGGGGAUAACAGGCUGAUACCGCCCAAGAGUUCAUAUCGACGGCGGUGUUUGGCACCUCGAUGUCGGCUCAUCACAUCCUGGGGCUGAAGUAGGUCCCAAGGGUAUGGCUGUUCGCCAUUUAAAGUGGUACGCGAGCUGGGUUUAGAACGUCGUGAGACAGUUCGGUCCCUAUCUGCCGUGGGCGCUGGAGAACUGAGGGGGGCUGCUCCUAGUACGAGAGGACCGGAGUGGACGCAUCACUGGUGUUCGGGUUGUCAUGCCAAUGGCACUGCCCGGUAGCUAAAUGCGGAAGAGAUAAGUGCUGAAAGCAUCUAAGCACGAAACUUGCCCCGAGAUGAGUUCUCCCUGACUCCUUGAGAGUCCUGAAGGAACGUUGAAGACGACGACGUUGAUAGGCCGGGUGUGUAAGCGCAGCGAUGCGUUGAGCUAACCGGUACUAAUGAACCGUGAGGCUUAACCUU